GACGAACGCUGGCGGCGUGCUUAACACAUGCAAGUCGAACGGAAAGGCCCUGCUUUUGUGGGGUGCUCGAGUGGCGAACGGGUGAGUAAAACGUGUGUAACCUGCCCUUGACUUUGGGAUAACUUCAGGAAACUGGGGCUAAUACCGGAUAGGAGCUCCUGCUGCAUGGUGGGGGUUGGAAAGUUUCGGCGGUUGGGGAUGGAAUCGCGGGUUAUCAGCUUGUUUGUGGGGUAGUGACUUACCAAGGCUUUGAAGGGUAGCCGGCCUGAGAGGGUGACCGGCCACAUGGGGACUGAGAUAGGGACCAGACGCCUACGGGAGGCAGCGGUCGGGAAUAUUGCACAAUAGGCGGAAGCCUGAGACAGCAACGCCGCGUGCGGGAUGACGGCUUUCGAGUUGUAAACCGCUUUCGCCUGUGACGAGGCGAGAGUGACGGUAAUGGGUAAGGAAGCACCGGCUAACUACGUG
Molecule: ribosomal RNA, 468 nt
Filed under: uncultured bacterium
Lineage: Bacteria
Description: partial 16S ribosomal RNA
Rfam family: Bacterial small subunit ribosomal RNA
Source: RNAcentral